This 999-nucleotide long non-coding RNA is filed under the name Marmota monax (woodchuck). The record is from RNAcentral. Lineage: Eukaryota; Metazoa; Chordata; Mammalia; Rodentia; Sciuridae.
CCCUGGGUCUGCAUUCCUUUGCGUUUACCACGGACUUGGGGCGGGAUCAAAGGGAAAGUGGCCCGAGCCUGUUUAAUCAAGGGCUUGUGGACCGAAACCAAGCCUGAGGUGGCGGAGGGCACGCGGGUGAGGGGCCGAGGACGAGAAAGGGUCGGUCCUGGGCGCUGCGCCUUCCCUCCAGCAGGGCGCGGAGCCUCAGGCACCGGGAGGGCUGCACUGACCCGCAGUUCUGCCAGAGGUCAGGCCAGACUGCGCCCGGCGCGGGGAGACACCGAGAAGGCCAGCCUUUCUUCGGGAGGCUGCUUAGCGCUUGUGACCAUAUUUGGUCUGGUGAAAAGGCAUCUUGGCUGCUUGGCCUUCAAUUGUCUGCUAGAGCGCAGACGGUGCCCAGAAAGUGCCUCUGUUGCCGGAGACGCAGCUUCGCCCACGGGUGGGUUGUAAACAACCUUCAAAUCAUUCACCAAUCCUUCAUUUCCUCCACGGGGUGAAGGGCCAGAAGGGGUAAAGAAGAAACCGGAUCAAAGCUGGGUGCUGGAAGGGGAGAGCAGUUGCGCCCCCCUCCCCCGCGACAUCCGCGCGGGUAGUGGGAGGAUUGGAAUGUCCCUGACGCCCUCCAGGGAGCCUGCAGCCAGGAUGGAACACAGGCAGGUGGCUGGGAGUAGAGAGGGUGCGCCAGUGACCCGGAAAAAGCCACCCACCCUCCCACUGCCUGGAUAAGGGCAAGGGGGAGACCCCCGCCUCGGGGAGGAGGUCUGGCCUGGAGAGACAGCUGCGGGGAAGUGGGAGGCGGCCUCGCCCUCCGCAGCAGCUCAAUUCCUUCCCUCCCUCGACCCUUUUCCCUUGCCCGAAAAGAAGAUAUGGCUGCAAGGUAAGUUAGGCUCCAGGAGGCCCCCACCCUUCCCACUGACCCAAAUAGAGGUUUAUUAAAGAAGCCAAGGGGGCGAUAUAUGUUCCGCCCUUUGCUCAGCACUGGGCCACCUACACACCGCUUGUUAAAUA